Long non-coding RNA from Panonychus citri (citrus red mite), 1812 nucleotides. RefSeq lists it as uncharacterized. The transcript is spliced from 3 exons. The record is from RefSeq and is a predicted model, not a curated record. Lineage: Eukaryota; Metazoa; Arthropoda; Arachnida; Trombidiformes; Tetranychidae.
CGUGAUAUCAAUAAAAUCAAAUGAUUUAAUCAGAUGUUCAAAUAAAUUACAACACUUAUCAAAUCAACUGAUGAAACUUUGAUUGUGUCUCAUCAAUUGUAAUUGUUAUUUACUUGUGAUGGUGAUGAUUUGAUUUCCCAAUUGUUAUUAAUUAACUACCUGUGAUUAUAAAGCAAGGAAGACAUUUAAUUAUUAAAACAACAAGACAACAACAACAACAAUUAACAACAAUCAAAGGUAACUGUUAAUACCAACAACAACAACUUCAGCACAAAAGUAUAUAUUAUUAAUGGUAAUCGGGGUUCAUGGUGGUGGUGGUAAAGAGGGAGUGAGGUGUUGAUUAACUUUCAUCUCUCAGUGAGUUCAUUGGAUUUAACUCUCUUAUUUCCAUGCAUGAUUAGAUUGCUAUAGUUAAUCUUAUGAUUCAUGUAAUAUGCAAACUCACAAAUAAAUACACAAUCUGAUUACAUGGAAGCUCAGAUAAGAUUUACAUGAAUUUUAUUCGCUUUGAUGAUAAAGAAAAUUUUUCCAAUUCUUUGCAUGGAAGAAAACACUUUAAACGAAUUAGCUUUAGUUUAUCAAUAAUCAUGAAACGUAGCAGAAAAGACGAUGAAAAUUUCCGGAAACAUCGAGAAAAAAGAAUUAGAAACAAAAAGUUCUUUCGAAUCAAAAAACUUUUUCACCAGCCCAGUUUCACCCUCAUCACCAUCACUACCACCAAAUAUGCUGACACUUAAAAUUGAGUCUCAGAAAAACCGAUUAACCAUGAUAAACGUCAUCAUCAGAAUUAUCUGUUCACCAUCAUCAACAUGGAGACGGAAAAAAAGUCAUCUCACUUUUUUAUUUCCUCGAUAACAACAAAAUUCAAUUAUGAAUUUGCAUUAAUCAUUGGUUAAGUGAGUCUAUUUCCCUGAUAAUUAGCAGAUAGUAAAUUAAAAUAAGCCAUCAGAAUUAAUCAAUCAAGUAAUGAAUUCAUAUAUACAUUAACGUAAAAAAAAGUUCAUCCAUCCUGAGUACUCAGAAUAAGACAGAAAACAUCAUGAGCAACAAAAGGUAAGUUGAAACUGAGAAAAGAACAUAAAAAACAUGAAUAAGAUUUACAUCUUUACAUUUCGUCUUAAAUAUUAAAUUAAUCUUCUUACAUCCUGAGUUUCAAUAUAAUCACACUGAAAAUGAUCAAACUGAAUUUCCCCUGAAGGUGUCAAAUGUUAUAGAUAAAAAAGCACGUGACUUACAUGGUGUAAAUUAUUGAGACUUUCAUGAUAAAUGAAUUCACCAAAUUGAGAAGAUUUUUUUUUUCCUUUCCAAUACUUUUUCCCAUUGAUGAGUUUUCCUGAUGAAUGAAAACAGAAACGAAAAUUUUUUUUUCUUUUACAUUUUGAUGAAUCCAAAUGGAAAUAAUUAUUUUGUAUACAUUGAUUGUUAAUUACUGUUCUAAUUAAUUUGGAAAUGUUAAUUGAAUAAAUGUUAAUAACGAUAAAUGGCUAAUCAAAAUUCAUGAGAGUAACUUUUUAACAGCUAAUUGGAUUGAAUUUGGAUUCUGAACAAGGGAUAGAUUUUCAUGAAUGAAUUGUAAUUGAAUAAUAACAUUUGUAGCUUGUAUUUAGAGAUGAAAAUUAAUCAUGUUUAACAGUUUGAUUGUUUACCAAUCAUAAAUCAUUGACAAUUAGAUGGUAAAGAUUAAAUUGGAUUAAAUUGUUGAUGAAAAAAAAAAUCAAUUCAUCUGAGAUUUUGGUCAAUCUCUUGUUACCUUUUUAUCAAUGACACAACAUAGUGAUUGUUAAAUUGUUCCCAAACAAUUUACCUGAUUAA